GACGAACGCUGGCGGCGUGCUUAACACAUGCAAGUCGAACGGUGAAGCGCCUUCCUUUUUGGUGGGUGUGGAUGAGUGGCGAACGGGUGAGUAACACGUGAGUAACCUGCCCCCUUCUUCUGGAUAACCGCAUGAAAGUGUGGCUAAUACGGGAUAUUCUGGGUCUGUCGCAUGAUGGGUCUGGGAAAGAUAUUGUUUCGGUGGGGGAUGGGCUCGCGGCCUAUCAGCUUGUUGGUGGGGUGAUGGCCUACCAAGGCGGUGACGGGUAGCCGGCCUGAGAGGGUGGACGGCCACACGGGGACGGAGACACGGCCCAGACUCCUACGGGAGGCAGCAGUGGGGAAUAUUGCACAAUGGGCGCAAGCCUGAUGCAGCGACGCCGCGUGAGGGAUGGAGGCCUUCGGGUUGUGAACCUCUUUCGCCAGUGAAGCAGGCCUGCCUCGUUUGUGGGUGGGUUGACGGUAGCUGGAGAAGAAGCGCCGGCUAACUACGUG
RNAcentral lists this ribosomal RNA (494 nucleotides) under uncultured bacterium. RNAcentral describes it as "partial 16S ribosomal RNA". It matches the Rfam family "Bacterial small subunit ribosomal RNA", at positions 28 to 507 of the family's 1533-position model. The record is from RNAcentral.